Molecule: non-coding RNA, 1065 nt
Organism: Ciona intestinalis (vase tunicate)
Lineage: Eukaryota; Metazoa; Chordata; Ascidiacea; Phlebobranchia; Cionidae
Source: RefSeq, a predicted model, not a curated record
AAACCGCUCUUCAUGUUCAGCAAUAAGUUUAUAAAAGGGUGAAAUAUUGUGGUGUUUGGCUCGUGGUAUUUUGUGUUGCCGCAAACAAAAAGGCAGAGUAAAGUUUAAAUAAUACUUCAUUUGCUUUAAUAAUUAAUUUAAUAAAGGUGUUUAAGUUCAUACUCUGCAAUAAAUAAAUUCAGUCUUCUGCGGUAAAAGGGGAAUGAAUUCUAUUGUAACCCUCUUCAUAAAAACUCUUUUAUUUUUGGUUGUCAUAAUUGUAAUCAUAAUAUUCUGUGGUUUGACGUAUAUAAAGCUAGAGUUAUGUUGGAUAUUGAUAUUAAUGUUUAGCCAAUUACCCAUCACCAGGUUUAGUACACUAAACAACCCAAAUUGAGAAUUCAAUGAAUUCGUGAAACCAUGAUGCAAAAUGGCGGUCUUCGUAAUACAGAGUUAAACAUUCUUGGAAGAUGAAAGGUCGAAUGACAGCGUUGUUCUCAAGCCACAUAUAAAGGAAGCACGCUUCACGACAAGUAACUUAAAACCUAUGAACGUUUUUCUCAUCAAGAACAAUAAGAUUUAAUUUUGUUCAAUCUGCUAGGCCCAUGUUGAGAGUUGUGGAAAUGACUCGGGGUCGAACAGAUCUCAUGAACUUAUAUCGUUUGAACCAGGAAAUACAAUAUCAACACAAUUCUGUACCCAGCUGUCUGUACAUUAUACAAUCUACAGUCUACACCACCUUUACCAAGUACUUGUUUUUCUGAGAAGAAAAAAUGGUGCGGAUACAAAGUAUUUGAACAAAUUAAUUUUUCCGUUUUAUUUUUUUAUCACAAUAUAAAGGUAUUGAACUGAAAAUGACGUUAAAAAUCACGCCGUCAACAAGAAACAUUAAAGGCACAAUACAAAUGCGCCGCGUUAAAAACAAAUAUUCAUCGCGAUUUGCGAAUCUUUUUAAAAACGAAAUUGUCAAACAUUAAUUUGAAGUCAAAACUAUCAUCAUGAAAAGCAAGAUAUGUAGCAGCCUUUAGAAAGCUUUAUUUAGCGAAUAUAUGCGCGGGUUAAAAAUAUCAACACGUUCAGUUGCUG